GGAAUUGGUCAAGUCCGGAGAGAGGGCGGGGCCUUGGCGCGCGCGGGAGCCGGGAGUGGGGUCCCCCGGGCUUUCUCUCUUAGCCCCGCCUCCUUCCCGGCUCCAGCUGGGGCCGGCGAGCCUGAGUGGUGGCUACGCUGCUCGCUGGCCUCUCACUCUUCCCAGCAACCGGUGACACUGCCCGCGCGAGACUGACCACUAGCCGGCGCGGGCGAGAGGGACAGGAGCGUGACCUCCCCAUCCCGAGGGGCCGGACGCUCGGGCGCCUUCCCGCUCCCCCAACUCGGAGGCCGCGCGCGCCGUUACCCCCUUCCUCGCUCCCCCGCCCCAGUCCCGCAAUCCGGGAGGCGGGGGUCGGCAGCCGGCUGAGUGGGAACCGCGCGGUGUCUGAGGAGCCAGUCGGCGACCGGUUUCUACUUCAAGCGUGAUCCCCUUGCUUGUGGGAUGAGCUCCAGCAUGGGGUGAGGUACAGAAGAGAGACUCGAAGAGCCUGCCUUGGGACUUAAGCGCCAAACCUGCACCCUAGCAAGUGUCUUACUCCACAUCCGUAAUGGAAGGAAAUGCACAUCCUACUCCAGAGGCACAAGAGGAGGACAUCCCAUGCUGGCUACUCCUGCCCAGCGUGGUGGGGGAGCAGAAGCUCCAGAGCCCAGACUUGCAGGCUCACGGUGCAGGGUGAACCUGGCCACAGCUCACCUCUGGAACAGCCGCAGUGUCUGCCCUUAGAGAAGAACCCUGAAAUCAGACCAGUUUUUGCGGCCUCCCCCUUUCCUCUCUGUUACAGUGCCCUUUCCAGGCCUUAAGAGAAGUAAAACUUAGCCACAGCGUCAGGAGGUGGACGUGGACCCCCGAAUGUGAGUGGCACGGUUC
This 870-nucleotide long non-coding RNA is filed under the name Piliocolobus tephrosceles (Ugandan red Colobus). Its description in RNAcentral is "lncRNA (ENSPTEG00000013791.1)". Lineage: Eukaryota; Metazoa; Chordata; Mammalia; Primates; Cercopithecidae. The record is from RNAcentral.